GACGAACGCUGGCGGCGUGCCUAAUACAUGCAAGUCGAGCGCAGGAAAUCGACGGAACCCUUCGGGGGGAAGUCGACGGAAUGAGCGGCGGACGGGUGAGUAACACGUAAAGAACCUGCCCUCAGGUCUGGGAUAACCACGAGAAAUCGGGGCUAAUACCGGAUGGGUCAUCGGACCGCAUGGUCCGAGGAUGAAAGGCGCUUCGGCGUCGCCUGGGGAUGGCUUUGCGGUGCAUUAGCUAGUUGGUGGGGUAAUGGCCCACAAAGGCGACGAUGCAUAGCCGACCUGAGAGGGUGAUCGGCCACGCUGGGACUGAGACACGGCCCAGACUCCUACGGGAGGCAGCAGUAGGGAAUCUUCCACAAUGGACGAAAGUCUGAUGGAGCAACGCCGCGUGAACGAUGAAGGCCUUCGGGUCGCAAAGUUCUGUUGUAAGGGAAGAACAAGUGCCGCAGGCAAUGGCGGCACCUUGACGGUACCUUGCGAGAAAGCAACGGCUAACUACGUGCCAGCAGCCGCGGUAA
This 524-nucleotide ribosomal RNA is filed under the name uncultured bacterium. RNAcentral describes it as "partial 16S ribosomal RNA". It matches the Rfam family "Bacterial small subunit ribosomal RNA", at positions 28 to 523 of the family's 1533-position model. The record is from RNAcentral.